GAUUCAGAAUCUAUUCCUAGAAGAGAAAUGCCUUCUACCUCCCACUCCCCGCCGACCCCUCCACCCUGUGUUUAGGUCACCAUUCUGAAAUCCCCCUUUCAGG
Dasypus novemcinctus (nine-banded armadillo) is the source of this 103-nucleotide unclassified non-coding RNA. The record is from Ensembl. NCBI's taxonomy places the organism in Eukaryota, Metazoa, Chordata, Mammalia, Cingulata, Dasypodidae.